RNAcentral lists this ribosomal RNA (520 nucleotides) under uncultured Diversispora. RNAcentral describes it as "SSU rRNA". It matches the Rfam family "Eukaryotic small subunit ribosomal RNA", at positions 569 to 1089 of the family's 1831-position model. The record is from RNAcentral. Lineage: Eukaryota; Fungi; Glomeromycota; Glomeromycetes; Diversisporales; Diversisporaceae.
AGCAGCCGCGGUAAUUCCAGCUCCAAUAGCGUAUAUUAAAGUUGUUGCAGUUAAAAAGCUCGUAGUUGAACUUCGGGGUUUACCCAUUGGUCAGGCUUAAUUGUCUGUACUGGUGAGAUAAAUCUCUACCUUCUGAGGAACUUUCAUGCCAUUUAUUUGGUGUAAUUGGAAAUCAGGACUGUUACUUUGAAAAAAUUAGAGUGUUUAAAGCAGGCUAACGUCUGAAUACAUUAGCAUGGAAUAAUGAAAUAGGACGUUUGAUCCUAUUUUGUUGGUUUCUAGGAUCGACGUAAUGAUUAAUAGGGAUAGUUGGGGGCAUUAGUAUUCAAUUGUCAGAGGUGAAAUUCUUGGAUUUAUUGAAGACUAACUACUGCGAAAGCAUUUGCCAAGGAUGUUUUCAUUAAUCAAGAACGAAAGUUAGGGGAUCGAAGACGAUCAGAUACCGUCGUAGUCUUAACCAUAAACUACGCCGACUAGGGAUCGGAUGAUGUUAAUUUUUUAAUGACUCAUUCGGCGCCUU